RNAcentral lists this ribosomal RNA (614 nucleotides) under [Candida] sp. 'davisiana'. RNAcentral's name for it is "eukaryotic LSU rRNA". It matches the Rfam family "Eukaryotic large subunit ribosomal RNA", at positions 37 to 669 of the family's 3401-position model. Lineage: Eukaryota; Fungi; Ascomycota; Saccharomycetes; Saccharomycetales. The record is from RNAcentral.
UGCAUAUCCCAUAGCGGAGGAAAAGAAACCAACAGGGAUUGCCUCAGUAACGGCGAGUGAAGCGGCAACAGCUCAAAUUUGAAAUCUGGCUCUCGGGCCCGAGUUGUAAUUUGUAGAGGAUGUUUCGAGCAUGGUCUGGCCUAAGUUCCUUGGAACAGGACGUCAUAGAGGGUGAGAAUCCCGUAUGCGGUCAGGUGCCUACGCUCAUGUGAAACUCCUUCGACGAGUCGAGUUGUUUGGGAAUGCAGCUCAAAAUGGGAGGUAAAUUUCUUCUAAAGCUAAAUAUUGGCCAGAGACCGAUAGCGCACAAGUAGAGUGAUCGAAAGAUGAAAAGCACUUUGGAAAGAGAGUUAAACAGUACGUGAAAUUGUUGAAAGGGAAGCGCUUGCAACCAGACUUGCACGCAGCUGAUCAUCCGGGCUUCUGCCCGGUGCACUCGGUUGUGUUCAGGCCAGCAUCAGUUUUGGGGGUGGGAUAAAGGCCCUAGGAAUGUAGCUCCUCUCGGGGAGUGUUAUAGCCUAGGGUGCAAUGCCACCACCCGGGACUGAGGACCGCGCUUCGGCUAGGAUGCUGGCGUAAUGGUUGUAAGCGACCCGUCUUGACCCCCGGACCCA